CCUACGGGAGGCAGCAGUGAGGAAUAUUGGUCAAUGGCCGCAAGUCUGAACCAGCCAAGCCGCGUGCGGGAAGACGGCCCUAAGAGUUGUAAACCUCUUUUGUCCGGGGGCAAAGACAGACACGCGUAUCUGUUUGAGAGUACCCGAAGAAAAAGCAUCGGCUAACUCCGUGCCAGCAGCCGCGGUAAUCCGGAGGAUGCAAGCGUUAUCCGGAUUUAUUGGGUUUAAAGGGUCCGCAGGCGGCGGUAAAAGUUAGGGGUCAAAUCCCGGGGCCAAACCCCGUACUGCCGUUGAAACUGGUUGGCUUGAGUGUGAGAGAAGUAUGCGGAAUGCGUGGUGUAGCGGUGAAAUGCAUAGAGAUCAUGCAGAACACCGAUUGCGAAGGCAGCAUACCGG
Molecule: ribosomal RNA, 396 nt
Filed under: uncultured bacterium
Lineage: Bacteria
Description: partial 16S ribosomal RNA
Rfam family: Bacterial small subunit ribosomal RNA
Source: RNAcentral